This 1238-nucleotide long non-coding RNA is filed under the name Marmota monax (woodchuck). The record is from RNAcentral. Lineage: Eukaryota; Metazoa; Chordata; Mammalia; Rodentia; Sciuridae.
CAUCUGUAUACACCCAGGAGCCCCGGGGCACGUCUCCAGCCACAGAGGAGAGGCGAGGAGGAGUCUGGCGGGUUUUUCUGGGAGAGCGGAGUGAAUAGCUGGCCUGACUCAGCUGCUGCCAAACCUGGAGACCAGGAAGAGGGAGCUAAAGACCCCCAGCCAACGCCAAGCAGGGCAGAUGCGCCGAGGGCAAUAGAAGUCAAUCGCCUUGUGAGUCUGGAGGCCCGGAUUUCGCAAGAAGGCACUGGCAGUGCUGGCCACUUCAGAGGCUCCACGGUAGGUGACAGCCUGCCUCCCUCCACCCUGUCAUUCUCUGCUGGGGGCACAUCACUCCAGUCCUGGCUCCACAUCACUGGGCACUCUGCCAAUUUUCCUGGGCCAGACCCAUCUUCCAAGGAUGCACUCAUGCCGACUGGGCUGGCCACAGAGACCCCUUUCCAGACAAGGUUACGUCCACUGCACAGGACUGGGACUUUGGCCUGUGAUUUUGGGAUCCACAGCAGCGAUGGCAGACCUCCUGGCACCAUGAGUGGGCACGAAGGAGGGCACUGUGCUCCAGGGGCUGCAGGGGCUGGGCAGAGAACGACAGGGCUUUCUGCUUGGCCACCCCGGGUCCACCCUCUGGGGUAGAGACAGCGUUUUCCUGUCUUGAGGAGGGAUAGGUAGCUGACUGGGGUCGCACAGGGGGCCUCCCAGGUGUGAGGUCCAGGUGCCCUUUUUACGCUCGACGUGAGCCGCCCAGGAUUAUCGAAGAGCAGCUGGCUCCAGACGGAACAAGGGCCAGGGCCAACAGUCCAGCACUGCCCUCCAGGAACCUGGACCACGUUCCUGAGGAGCCUCCUGUUUCCAACCAGCCACAAGCUGAGGUGAGGCUGGGGGAGGCUGAGAGUCCAUGCCAAGCUGAGGGACCCUGAUGCCCAGGAACUGAAGGCCGCAGGCAGAGGUCCAGGGCGGCACUCCAUGGACAGGGGGAUGUCCUGACAGGAGGCAGGGUCCACAGGAGGCAGGACCAGCAACGUGGUCUGUGGGGCCUGUGCCAAGGGACAGCCUCAGGGAGUCAGUGAGAAUGUCAAGGUGGCGGCAGAGUGUCAGGGGUGCAGGGCCUCCUGAGCAUGGCCACCAACCCUGCAGGGACUCCUGCGUGGUCCUGCCACCUGUCCUCCUACACCUGGGGCUCCUGGGGCCCUCCUGGAGCUGGGGUCAGGACACUGCAGGAAGGGGUGCAUGGCCAGAGCUGC